Molecule: ribosomal RNA, 468 nt
Filed under: uncultured bacterium
Lineage: Bacteria
Description: partial 16S ribosomal RNA
Rfam family: Bacterial small subunit ribosomal RNA
Source: RNAcentral
GACGAACGCUGGCGGCGUGCUUAACACAUGCAAGUCGAACGGAAAGGCCCUGCUUUUGUGGGGUGCUCGAGUGGCGAACGGGUGAGUAACACGUGAGUAACCUGCCCUUGACUUUGGGAUAACUUCAGGAAACUGGGGCUAAUACCGGAUAGGAGCUCCUGCUGCAUGGUGGGGGUUGGAAAGUUUCGGCGGUUGGGGAUGGACUGGCGGCUUAUCAGCUUGUUGGUGGGGUAGUGGCUUCCGAAGGCUUUGACGGGUAGCCGGCCUGAGAGGGGGACCGGGCACAAUGCUCCUGCGAGACGGACCAGACGCCUACGGGCGGCAACGGUGGAGAAUAUUGCACAAUAGGCGGAAGCGUGAUGCAGCAGCGCUCGGUGCGGGAUGACGGCUUUCGGGUUAUAAACCACUUUCGCCUGUGACGAAGCGUGAUUGACGGUAAUGGGUAAAGAAGCAACGGCUAACUACGUG